Oreochromis aureus is the source of this 526-nucleotide long non-coding RNA. Lineage: Eukaryota; Metazoa; Chordata; Actinopteri; Cichliformes; Cichlidae. The record is from Ensembl.
GAGAGGAAGAAAAGUCCGUUUUUUUUCCAAGUGGAAAGCGUGGUUGCUUUAUUCAGUCGGAUUGUACGGUGGAAAUAAACUAGCUGGAAUUUGUUGUUCACCAGAAAGGAGUUUUGUUACUGCUCGGAUUCUUCUGGUUGUGCUACAACGCUGCACCAUCGCCAUUUUGAAGCUCCAGGAGAGCCCAUUUUGUUGGUUACUUUGGUCAGGUUUUUUACUUGGGAGUACAGUUCAGUGAUGAUCCAGUCCAAAGAUGGCGAGCCACCCCUCCAGGAUCCUUGAGAUAAUUGUUUUAAGAAGAGAACUAAAUUCUUUGGACGAGCCGUGAACUGUACCAAUUCUACUUAAGUGGAUCCAUGCCACACACCUUUUUAAUUUUGUCCAGCUGGAGAAGUACAUCAGCAGCUUAGUAGUGGGACACACAUCUUCUUUCAGCACAGCUGCACACAUCAGGCCCUCCCCUUUUAUUUCUGGGUCAGCUUCCAAAUGGACAGAUACACAAUUCUUGCCUACAGGCCAGUGAACG